GUGGGGAAUAUUGGGCAAUGGGCGAAAGCCUGACCCAGCAACGCCGCGUGUAGGAAGAAGGUCUUCGGAUCGUAAACUUCUAUCCUUGGUGAAGAUAAUGACGGUAGCCGAGAAGGAAACCCCGGCUAACUACGUGCCAGCAGCCGCGGUAAUACGUAGGGGGCAAGCGUUGUCCGGAUUGAUUGGGCGUAAUGGGCGCGUAGGCGGCCUGGUAAGUCUGGUGUGAAAGUCCUGCUUUUAAGGUGGGAAUUGCUUUGGAUACUGUCGGGCUUGCGUGCAGGAGAGGUAAGUGGAAUGCCCGGUGUAGCGGUGAAAUGCGUAAGGAUCGGGAGGAACACCAGUAGCGAAGGCGACUUACUGGACUGUAACUGACGCUGAGGCGCGAAAGUGUGGGGAGCAAACAGGAUUAGAAGCCCGGGUAGUCC
This 425-nucleotide ribosomal RNA is filed under the name uncultured bacterium. Its description in RNAcentral is "partial 16S ribosomal RNA". It matches the Rfam family "Bacterial small subunit ribosomal RNA", at positions 354 to 796 of the family's 1533-position model. The record is from RNAcentral.